This 60-nucleotide transfer RNA is filed under the name Lasioglossum leucopus. RNAcentral's name for it is "tRNA-Ser". Lineage: Eukaryota; Metazoa; Arthropoda; Insecta; Hymenoptera; Halictidae. The record is from RNAcentral.
GAAAUAUAAUUAAACAAGAACUUCUAAUUCUUUAAAAAAUGUUCAAUCAUUUGUAUUUCU